This is a long non-coding RNA of Ahaetulla prasina, 2252 nucleotides long. RefSeq lists it as uncharacterized. Lineage: Eukaryota; Metazoa; Chordata; Lepidosauria; Squamata; Colubridae. The record is from RefSeq and is a predicted model, not a curated record. The transcript is spliced from 4 exons.
UGAGCCUCUCUUUGCAAUAUCUUUUAAGCAGUGUUUACAACUGGGCCCAUUGUUUGGUUCAGGGGAGAAACUUCUGGAUAUUGUGCUAAGCUACAGAAAGUGACACUAUUUGGGGACAAAUAGAUCCACUAAGCCUUAAUGCUGCUGGUGGGUUGUUUUAGCAAGUGUGAUAUGUCAACCCAUCUAAUUGUGGUUUAUUCAAUCAAAUAUGGCUAAGCCAGCUGUGUUUAGCGUAAAGAGUGCACAACUCAUGUACAAAAAGCAAACUCAAAAUAUUUGCCAUGCAGAGUGAGGAGAUCUCUGAGCUGUCAGCUCCCUAGCAGCUGUUCGUUCAAAUUCAGGAUUCUGUUUUCAUUCCAGCUGGGCAGAAGCUGGUCAUGUCCAGCUGAUCAUAUAUGGCUGUCUCAGCUUGCUUCCUGCCAUGUUGUGUGGGACAAACCCCCACUGGAUCCAUGACAAUUCGCCAGGGCCAACUCACUGCAGGACAAAAGUUACAUUGCGUUGGCCACCACUAUGCAAUCGAAACUCCACCCUUUUUACAUCUGUCACAAUGCACAAUCAAGGGCGGAGGUUUGAUUGCAUGGUGAUUUCCACCAUGUUGAUGUUUUUGACCACUUUGUGGACGUUUGGCAAUGCAGGUAAGAAAGAUUGGGCCUUUGAAUGCAUGGCUGUGGCCGCCAUUUUGACUAUUUUACUUCCUUUGUAGACACCCCUGAACUUGACAAAUCCAGUUGUUUUAUGAUUCUGAAAGGGUUAACUGUAUAGAAAAUGAAUCAAGGUCUCACCUAAUGAUAGGACUAGCUGUGAAGUUUCUUUCCUAACACCCUUCUUCUGACUGAGCGCUGAAGAGGUAAGAUGGGAGAAGGCAGAUCACAGAUGGAGAUGGUCCACCUUGACUGGUCUAAAGUUCCUGCAGCUUUUCCAAGCUUGGGCAGUUGAAAUGGUUGUAGUGAGUUGGUACCCAGCUACACCCACAUAAACUGUCCAAAUUCUCAGCAAUGGGCACACCGGCUGAGAAAAACCUGUAAGCUGAAAUCCACCCAGCUGAAGCGUUCCAGAGUGGAGAAGAUGGGUCUAAGCACAACAGUUUCGCUUGGCAUAUGACUUACAAAGAUGUGUGACCUCAACCAGUUGUGGCUUCUUCAAAGCCGCGACUUAGCACAGUAGGUGAACGCAGCCUGGUAGAAGCAAAAGCUUAGAAUAUUUCAUAUAUUUCCCUUAGCUACUCUUUUUCUUCUGGACAACUUCUUCCUUCUAUUUUUCACACCACGGGAGAUAGGGUUGCGCCAUGCCAAACCUUUUCUAGCGAUCGCAUUUCCUUUUAUUGCCCAAUGUUCUUUCUGUGGAAAAAAGAAAGGGGGGAGGGAGAGAAAUGUCCUGGGGUUUGUGUUUUUCAACCUCCCGUGCCAUGUUUAUUCGCAGGCCACCAAUGUAGCAGGCAAUUGGCUGUAUCAACUGUGUGCCCUGGUGCCAAUGAUCCAGUUCCCCAGGGGUUGGGGCUGUGCGUAAGGAGUUAUGCAAACUUGUCUCUGCAAGAUUUUCAAAUUGUUCUCUUUCUUCAUGCCAGCUCCUGCUUCACUGCAGCAGAACUUGCAUGAUGCAACUCAAGUCUCCAGCUACACCUAGGAAGGACCACCACGUCCAGCAGAGCCAACGGGAUCGACUUUGCAUGCAUUCGGAUGCCAGGAUCACUUUUAUCUUCUGAGAAAAGCGCCGCUCAAAGUGGAACAUUUUCCACGUGAAAAAAUAAAGAGGGGAAAAGUGGGAUGACACAUUUCUUAAACUGAAGUGCUGGCCAGAACAGACUAGCAGCAACCAGAAUCCGUGUUUCAUUUGGUGCUUGUGUUAAAAUAGCAAAGAGAAUGCAAGGGAAAUCAGAGUACAAGAUCAAGGAAUCCCCUGGAGAGAGAAAAAAACAGGCCUUGCAUAGAGAAGUUUACCCAUUAUCUGCAAAUGCAGCCUGAAAACCUCUGCACAGGCAUCUGGGAACCACAAAUAAUUAAUAUAGCGCUUCCAUAUCCUCUGGAUCAAGGCGUUGGAUCACGAUCUCUGAAAAGAAAUAAAUCUGCAGCUGACUUUUUGGAAAGGCAUCUAAGCCACUGAAUUGCAGGAGGUACAGCUAGCCCUCCACUUACAACAGCUUGCUUAGUGACCGUUCGAAGUUUAUAACAGCACAGAAAGAAGUGACUUAUGACCAUUUUUCACACUUAUGAUCGUUUGCAGCAUCCACAUGAUCACGUCACUCACAUCCG